This 439-nucleotide ribosomal RNA is filed under the name uncultured bacterium. RNAcentral describes it as "partial 16S ribosomal RNA". It matches the Rfam family "Bacterial small subunit ribosomal RNA", at positions 339 to 795 of the family's 1533-position model. The record is from RNAcentral.
UUACGGGUCGCUCCAGUGAGGAAUAUUGCACAAUGGGGGGAACCCUGAUGCAGCAACGCCGCGUGGAGGAUGACGCAUUUCGGUGUGUAAACUCCUUUUAUAUGUCAAGAAAAUGACGGUAGCAUAUGAAUAAGCACCGGCUAACUCCGUGCCAGCAGCCGUGGUAAUACGGAGGGUGCAAGCGUUACUCGGAAUCACUGGGCGUAAAGGACGCGUAGGCGGGUUGGAAAGUCAGGUGUGAAAUCCUACAGCUUAACUGUAGAACUGCACUUGAAACUUCUAAUCUAGAGUAUGGGAGGGGGAGAUGGAAUUAGUGGUGUAGGGGUAAAAUUCGUAGAUAUCACUAGGAACACCUAAAGCGAAGGCGAUCUCCUGGAACAUUACUGACGCUAAGGCGUGAAAGCGUGGGGAGCAAACAGGAUUAGAUACCCGAGUAGUC